AAAAAUCAAUAUAAAAAUAUUGUUUAUAAGAUAAAAUCAAAUUCAUUUUACAUUUUUACUACGAAUAAAUUUAUUAAAGAUCACAAUUUUGCAAUGGCAAUACUAUGUGAUGUAUCGAAGUUUUUAAACUAAACGUUAGAAAACUUGAAAUAUUUCUUGUCGAGUUUGUUCUAUGUGUUGUGUGUGCGUUGUUUUCUCUGCUUUGAUAUAGAUUUUUCACUUUUAUUUUGACCUUGGCGCGCUUAACGGACCCUGAUAGUGCUUCUUUUAUUGUUAUUUGGCUAUUUUUUACGGACACAGUCUCAUACUCUUCACUUGACAAACCCCGGCAACAUUUUUAGGCUGAUGAUGGCGAAGAUACCGAAAAGCCCACGAUCUAACUGUUAUUUCGGGUGUAAUGCAGAAGGUCCUCUGCAUCAUUUCCAUAAGCCUGAAAAAGAUGUAGAAAGGUUUGAAAUCUGGAAAGCAGUGUUAGAGAAUGACACCACAGAGAAAGGAAAUAUGUAUAUCUAUAACCAAUUAAGGUUAUGUAAUAAACAAUUUUGAAAAUUAUUACAUAUUACCAAGCAACAGGCUAACAAGAAAUGCUAUUCCAACUCUGUAUAUUAAGAAAGAUGAUAUGUCUAUUUGUGCAUCAACAUCCACAGAAAAAUCUAUUGAGACAGGUACUGCAAUUUUGACGGAUAAGGCUACUAAAAAAAGCAUAAAGCAAAAAUGUUUUUCAGAAAGCAGAAUCUUACCAGCGGAGUGUGAAGACACUGCUGAUCUACUACUCGUCUUUGACAAAUUAUAUGACUCUUUUAAUGGCCACCCAUACCGUGAUACGGCUAAAGUUCUCAGGGGGUGUCGAAUUCGUUUGAAAUCGAAAUCGAAUUUCAUUUGAAAGGGUGGUAAAAUAUCGUGAUGGCACAGAACGAAUUAUGUAUGAAAAAGUGCUAUUUGUUCAAAAUUGGAUACACAACAUAAAUACCUUUAAGGAAAUGUGGAAAUAUAUAAAUGAACAAUUUAAAAUCACAAAACAUAUUAACCAGAAAUUUUAAUCAAGAUCCCCUCGAGAAUUUCCUUUGCUGUAUCCGAAGUAAUGGAAUCAGAAAUGUUAAACCCACAUGCAUGCAAUUUAUGAACGCCUACAAGACACUGUUGAUUAAUAAUAUGAAUUCAUCUCAUUCCAUUAGUGCUGAUUGUGAAAAAGAUGACUAUCAACCGCUAGUCAAUGAAAUUUUUAUUAUCAGAGAAAUGUGAUUCUUUAGAUCCUCCUGAAUUUGCAUGUGAAGUUGAUUCUUUGAUUACCACAAUGCAUGAAAUUAAAUCUACUGACUCAAUUUUGCACGAGGAAGCAAAAAAAUAUGUCGCAGGCCAUGUAAUCAAAAAAAGCAAAAAUAAAAUAUUUAAAAAUUG
Nymphalis io (European peacock) is the source of this 1398-nucleotide long non-coding RNA. RefSeq lists it as uncharacterized. The transcript is spliced from 4 exons. The record is from RefSeq and is a predicted model, not a curated record. NCBI's taxonomy places the organism in Eukaryota, Metazoa, Arthropoda, Insecta, Lepidoptera, Nymphalidae.